This 492-nucleotide ribosomal RNA is filed under the name uncultured bacterium. Its description in RNAcentral is "partial 16S ribosomal RNA". It matches the Rfam family "Bacterial small subunit ribosomal RNA", at positions 29 to 507 of the family's 1533-position model. The record is from RNAcentral.
AGUGAACGCUGGCGGUAGGCCUAACACAUGCAAGUCGAACGGCAGCACAGUAAGAGCUUGCUCUUACGGGUGGCGAGUGGCGGACGGGUGAGGAAUACAUCGGAAUCUACUUUUUCGUGGGGGAUAACGUAGGGAAACUUACGCUAAUACCGCAUACGACCUACGGGUGAAAGCAGGGGAUCUUCGGACCUUGCGCGAUUGAAUGAGCCGAUGUCGGAUUAGCUAGUUGGCGGGGUAAAGGCCCACCAAGGCGACGAUCCGUAGCUGGUCUGAGAGGAUGAUCAGCCACACUGGAACUGAGACACGGUCCAGACUCCUACGGGAGGCAGCAGUGGGGAAUAUUGGACAAUGGGCGCAAGCCUGAUCCAGCCAUACCGCGUGAGUGAAGAAGGCCUUCGGGUUGUAAAGCCCUUUUGUUGGGAAAGAAAAGCAGCAGGUUAAUACCCCGCUGUUCUGACGGUACCCAAAGAAUAAGCACCGGCUAACUUCGUA